This 870-nucleotide long non-coding RNA is filed under the name Mus spicilegus (steppe mouse). Its description in RNAcentral is "lncRNA (ENSMSIG00000030882.1)". The record is from RNAcentral. Lineage: Eukaryota; Metazoa; Chordata; Mammalia; Rodentia; Muridae.
UGCAAGAAGAACUCUGGGGGAGCCAUGCCAGAGAGAUGGCCGGGAGCGAGCCCUGCGGCCAGAGAGUUUGUGGGCCAGCAGGAUCACUGAAGCAUGAUCUGGCCCUGGGGAGAGUUGACGAGUUCGUUUUAUAAUAUUUCCUGCAACAGGUUCACAGUGCUCUUAAAUGAUAAAUGAAAAUAGGAUUUCAUGUGUUUUAAUAAACUAAAUACUUGUACAAGAUAGUCAUUUUUUUUUAUUUUAGCAUGCUUACCUAUUUGUUGUUUUCCUGAAAUUGCAGGGGAGUUUGAAAAUGAAAUAAAUACUGUGCUAUGAUUUUCUUCUUGACCUGAGGAAAGUUUGGCAUAGUUAAAAAAAAAAAAAAACCAAAACAGUUCCCCAAAGUGAAAAAGACCUUGUGGUUUAAGAAGGCAGCUUUUAAUCUUCAUGAUAUAUAUGGCCUUCAGUUCCUCCUCCAAAAUAGCACAGAUUGGCUUUGUGACAUCAUCCCUGACUGUGCAGAUGGCGAGGACACAUCAUUUAGGGCCAGCUUAAUUAGUGAUGGACACAUUUCAGUGUUUUUAUUUCUUGGCUAUUUCAUCCUUCAGAAUUCUGUGACAUUUGAUUGCUCCCUCCAUAUGACCAAGGAAGUAAUGGAAACAAAUCACCAGGUAACGUCACAUAGCUGGUAGCUAAAUAGCUGGAGCUGUCGUUCAACUGAAGGUUUGUUUAUGUUACACCAUUUACUUGUAAGCUACGAUGACAUGUAAAACAUAUAGAAUCAGUUGUGCAAGCAAAGAAAACCUAUAAUAAGACAUUAAAAUGUUUAAAUUGAAAUUAUGCUGUAUAAAAAUUACUUGCUAAACAGAAUAGUAAUAAAGUGCAUGUUUU